AUGUUCGAGGGGAUGGAGCGGGCGGGGUACGGCGUGGGCGCCGGGGUGGUGCUGUCGCGGGACCCCAAGCCCCGGCUGCGCUGGACGCCCGACCUGCACGAGCGCUUCGUGGAGGCCGUCACCAAGCUCGGCGGGCCCGACAAGGCGACGCCCAAGUCGGUGCUGAGACUGAUGGGCAUGAAAGGGCUCACCUUGUACCACCUCAAGAGUCAUCUUCAGAAAUACAGGAUGGGAAAGCAGAGCAAGAAAGACACAGGCUUCGAAACCAACAGAGCCUUCGCCGCACAGGGCAUCAGUUUCUCCUCUGCGAUGCCUCCCAACGUUCCGUCCGCCGGGAAUAACACUACGGGAGAAACGCCACUCGCGGACGCAUUGAGAUAUCAAAUCGAAGUCCAAAGGAAGUUGCACGAACAGCUUGAGGUUCAGAAGAAGCUGCAAAUGCGCAUCGAGGCGCAAGGGAAGUACCUGCAGACGAUCCUGGAGAAGGCCCAGAAGAACCUCUCGUACGAAGCAGGCGGAGACGCAACCCUAGAGACAACCAGGUCGCAGCUCACCGACUUCAACCUAGCUCUCUCGGGGUUCAUGGACGACGCGACGCAGGCGUGCCAGCAGAACGGCGGGGAGCUGGCCAAGGCCUUGUCCGACGACGGCCUCAGAGCCGGCAACCUGGGCUUCCAGCUCUACCACGGCGGCGAGGACGUGAAAUGCGCCACGGACGAGGACCUGCUCCUGCUGGACCUGAACAUCAAAGGUGGGUACGAUCACCGGCUGUCCGCCCACGGCAUGCGGCGCGGCGCGGUGGACCUGGCGGUCGGCCAGCACCGGAGGUAA
RNAcentral lists this ribosomal RNA (831 nucleotides) under Triticum aestivum (bread wheat). Its description in RNAcentral is "partial small subunit ribosomal RNA". The record is from RNAcentral. Lineage: Eukaryota; Viridiplantae; Streptophyta; Magnoliopsida; Poales; Poaceae.